This 121-nucleotide ribosomal RNA is filed under the name Oryctolagus cuniculus (rabbit). Lineage: Eukaryota; Metazoa; Chordata; Mammalia; Lagomorpha; Leporidae. The record is from RNAcentral.
GCCUAUGGUCAUACCACCCUGAUGAUAUGGCCUGACCGUGUCUGAUCUUGAGGCUAAGCAGGGUGGGGCCUGGUUAGUACUUGGAUGUGAGAUUGCCUGGAAAUAUCAGGUGCUAUAGGCU